CCUACGGGAGGCAGCAGUAGGGAAUAGUGCUCAAUGGGGGAAACCCUGAAGCAGCAACGCCGCGUGGAGGAUGAAGGUUUUCGGAUUGUAAACGCCUUGUGUUAGAGAAGAGAAGGACGGUAGCUAACGAAUAAGCACCGGCUCACUCCGUGCCAGCAGCCGCGGUAAUACGGAGGGGGCAAGCGUUACUCGGAAUCCCGGGGCGUCACGAGCGCGUAGGCGGGAUAGCAAGUCCGAUGUGAAAUCCUAUGGCUUAACCAUAGAACUGCAUUUGAAACUGUUAUUCUUGAGUAUGGGAGAGGUAGGUGAAAUUCUUGGUGUAGGGGUAAAAUCCGUAGAGAUCAAGAGGAAUACUCAUUGCGAAGGCGACCUGCUAGAUCAUACCUGACGCUGAUGCGCGACAGCGUGGGGCGCAAACAGGAUUAGAUACCCUUGUAGUC
This 440-nucleotide ribosomal RNA is filed under the name uncultured bacterium. RNAcentral describes it as "partial 16S ribosomal RNA". It matches the Rfam family "Bacterial small subunit ribosomal RNA", at positions 338 to 795 of the family's 1533-position model. The record is from RNAcentral.